RNAcentral lists this ribosomal RNA (303 nucleotides) under uncultured bacterium. RNAcentral's name for it is "partial 16S ribosomal RNA". It matches the Rfam family "Bacterial small subunit ribosomal RNA", at positions 510 to 808 of the family's 1533-position model. The record is from RNAcentral.
AGCAGUAGCGCGGUAAUACGGAGGAUCCAAGCGUUAUCCGGAAUCAUUGGGUUUAAAGGGUCCGUAGGCGGUCUUGUAAGUCAGUGGUGAAAGCCCAUCGCUCAACGGUGGAACGGCCAUUGAUACUGCAGGACUUGAAUUAUUGGGAAGUAACUAGAAUAUGUAGUGUAGCGGUGAAAUGCUUAGAGAUUACAUGGAAUACCAAUUGCGAAGGCAGGUUACUACCAAUUGAUUGACGCUGAUGGACGAAAGCGUGGGUAGCGAACAGGAUUAGAUACCCGAGUAGUCCCUGUCUCUUAUACA